Molecule: ribosomal RNA, 450 nt
Filed under: uncultured bacterium
Lineage: Bacteria
Description: partial 16S ribosomal RNA
Rfam family: Bacterial small subunit ribosomal RNA
Source: RNAcentral
GUGGGGAAUCUUCCGCAAUGGACGAAAGUCUGACGGAGCAACGCCGCGUGAGUGAAGAAGGUUUUCGGAUCGUAAAGCUCUUUCGUUAGGGACGAACGUGCUCUUUGUGAAUAAUGAGGAGUAAUGACGGUACCUAAAUAAGAAGCCACGGCUAACUACGUGCCAGCAGCCGCGGUAAUACGUAGGUGGCAAGCGUUGUCCGGAAUUAUUGGGCGUAAAGCGCGCGCAGGCGGGAUAUCAAGUCUGUCUUAAAAGUGCGAGGCUCAACCUCGUGAGGGGACAGAAGCUGGUAUUCUUGAGUGUCGGAGAGGAAAGUGGAAUUCCAAGUGUAGCGGUGAAAUGCGUAGAGAUUUGGAAGAACACCAGUGGCGAAGGCGACUUUCUGGACGAUGUCUGACGCUGAGGCGCGAAAGCUAGGGGAGCGAACGGGAUUAGAAACCCCGGUAGUCC